RNAcentral lists this ribosomal RNA (252 nucleotides) under uncultured bacterium. RNAcentral describes it as "partial 16S ribosomal RNA". It matches the Rfam family "Bacterial small subunit ribosomal RNA", at positions 524 to 775 of the family's 1533-position model. The record is from RNAcentral.
UACGUAGGUGGCAAGCGUUGUCCGGAAUUAUUGGGCGUAAAGCGCGCGCAGGCGGCCUCUUAAGUCUGAUGUGAAAGCCCCCGGCUCAACCGGGGAGGGCCAUUGGAAACUGGGAGGCUUGAGUAUAGGAGAGAAGAGUGGAAUUCCACGUGUAGCGGUGAAAUGCGUAGAGAUGUGGAGGAACACCAGUGGCGAAGGCGACUUUCUGGUCUGUAACUGACACUGAGGCGCGAAAGCGUGGGGAGCAACAGG